UUUGGACUACCUUGUUGGUGAAGACCUUCCUUAAGUGCUCUGAUCUGACUCUUUUUCGACUUGUGGAGACUGUCGUGACGGUGAAGUAAACCAGUCUAGUAACUGGAAAUGGAACCUCGCUUUGACUCCUCUUCUGGUUAAUCCAGGUCGAUGCUCUGAGGUCUCACGGCAAGGUGGUCUUGUA
RNAcentral lists this non-coding RNA (184 nucleotides) under Prochlorococcus marinus str. MIT 9211. RNAcentral describes it as "6S / SsrS RNA". It matches the Rfam family "6S / SsrS RNA". From Rfam's summary of the family: E. coli 6S RNA was the first non coding RNA to be sequenced, but its function was unknown until recently. It consists of 184 nucleotides that fold into an extended hairpin structure with a large single-stranded internal bulge. Lineage: Bacteria; Bacillati; Cyanobacteriota; Cyanophyceae; Synechococcales; Prochlorococcaceae. The record is from Rfam by way of RNAcentral.